CAAUAGCGUAUAUUAACGUUGUUGCAGUUAAAAAGCUCGUAGUUGGAUUUCUGGUGGGCGCGCCGGUCUUCCAAGUGUUGUACUGGGCGCAGUCCGCCAUCCUUGUGGAGAGGGCUCGCAUUGAGUUGCGUGUCGGAUCUGCAUCAUUUACUGUGAAAAAAUUAGAGUGUUUAAAGCAGGCUGUCGCUUGAAUACAUUAGCAUGGAAUAAUAAGAUAGGACUUCGGUCUAUUUUGUUGGUUGCGAACCGAGGUAAUGAUUAAUAGGGAUAGUUGGGGGUAUUCAUAUUUAAUUGUCAGAGGUGAAAUUCUUGGAUUUAUGAAAGAUGAACAACUGCGAAAGCAUUUACCAAGGAUGUUUUCAUUAA
This 366-nucleotide ribosomal RNA is filed under the name uncultured eukaryote. RNAcentral describes it as "partial 18S ribosomal RNA". It matches the Rfam family "Eukaryotic small subunit ribosomal RNA", at positions 592 to 976 of the family's 1831-position model. The record is from RNAcentral.